GUUAGAGGGGGGGGGGGACACAUUUUAUUUUUCUUUCGGAGCGAUUAUCUCCGAAUAUAUUCACUUUAUCAAAAAAUGUUUGUUGAAGACCCCUAUUAGUUUUGAAAUACCUUUCCAACGAUACCCCACACUGUAGGAUAUAAGCAAAAAAAAAUUCACCCCCACUUUACGUGUAGGGGAGGUACCCUCAAAAAAAUUAAAUUUUUAGAUUUUAUUGUACGACUUUGUCGGCUUUAUUGAUUUAUAUAUCCAUGCCGAAUUUCAGCUUUCUAGCACUAACGACCACGGAGCAAAGCCUCGGACAGACAGACAGACAGACAGACAGAUGGACAUGGCGAAACUAUAAGGGUUCCUAGUUGACUACGGAACCCUAAAAAUGUUUUUUUAUAAAUACAAAUGAGUUUGACUCAUACUUCUUUAUCCCCACCUUUUUCAAAUCGGGCACGAGCAGCGGUCCGAUCGCAAGCCUUUGUUUAUUAAUAAUGCAAGGCUCUUAGUGGGAGUUCAAUGAAUAGUACACACCAAAGAGCCAAUACAUAUUAAUUUCGCAAUGUUCCUUCUGGAGAAGGUCCAUGAAACUUUUGUAUAAUGUAGAAUAUAAACUGGUUCAUUUUUGAAAAAAAAAUGGUGUGUGUACCAUGAGUCAAACUUGAUAUACAGGGUGAUUCUUUUUUUAUUUUUGUUUUUUUUACAAGAAUUUAAAUGUUUAGGGGGUUAAUAUUUUUUUAGCACAUAGCUUUUAGUCUUAUUAAUAUUUGUACAAAAUUUGACAUUCGUCACUUUCAUAGUUUAGGAAAAAAUAAUUAAAAAUAGUUUUGGGGUUAAUCGGGUGUUUUUCAUCCCCAGGGGGUAAUAGAGGGAUGAAACUUUGUGCAGAGUAUAACCUCCCUAAAAGGCAUCGUUUGAUUACAGUUUCGGCCCAAAAUCGCUGGGGGCAAUUUUUCCUAGGCUAUCCUGCUACACCCUUUGAAAACGAACGCAACAGCAUGCUCAAAACCCCCUGUGAGUCAGAAUCUGUUAAAUUCAGGCUUAAGACGAAACAGGAGCUGAGCCCGUACACAAAUUUGAGAUUUUUAGGUAAAAGGUAAAAAAUAUCGCCGUCGCGCUGACGAGUGUGGCCCCCGUACCUAGCUAGAGACUAUCCCUUGUGUGUGUACCAACAAACCAAAUUUUAGACAAAUAUGAUACGUCUUCUUCUUCUUUGUCGUUGUACUCUUUGCAGAGCGUCGUGGUCAACUGCUGAUAUCAGGCGCAGAUGUUGCUUGCCGUACGAUUUCUCGCCAUUUUUCGCGGUUGGGGGCCAUUCUGGCAAAUGCGUUGAUUUGAUCAGUCCAUCGCAUAGGUGGCCUUUUGCGCGGUCUUUUUCCGUUUGCUCUACCCUGCACCACUAGACGCUCUAUGGAGCCGUUGUUCCUCCCCGAGACGUGACCGAAAAAACUGAGUAUGCGGGUCUUUACGAGAGUCGAAAGGUCUUGAUACGGAGUUCUUUAAGGAUGGAGACAUUAGUCCGAAACUCGGUCCAGGAUAUCCCCAGCAUUUUCCUCCAGCACCAUAUUUCUAUGGCGUCUAUCGUCUUCUCCUCUGUCUUUCGGAUAGUCCAGGUCUCCGCAGCGUAUAAGAAUAUAGGAAAAACGAGGGCCCGUACAAGCCGAACCUUCGUGGUGUUUGUGACGUUUCGGUGAUACGUAGCCUAUACGUAAAAACUAGCCAAGACAAAUCCUUUAUAAUUUCAGGAUUUUCUACACAGCACAGAAAAUGGCACCCAUAUAGAUCUCAAUUCCGUUGUCGGCGAGUCAACAACGACACAUAUUCUUAGUAUUGAACUUAAUUGGCUCUCAUUUCACAUUUAUGUUUUAAAUUAAUUAUAGGCAUAGACAUACCAUAUCCUAUUGUAAGUACAAAGUUUCAGAGCAAUCUAGCAAGUCAUUUUAAAAUUAGAGCGUAACUACAUUUGUAUGGAGAACCGAAUUUGCUGCGGACGCACAAUGUAGCAUAAUCGGAUUAGGACCAACCUCGAAAUCUCUGUAACAGUCAUGAAAUUUAUUAUGUAUAUAAAUUAAAGGCCCCGUUUUCAUGCCCAAACCAUUUAACAUUUGGGAACCUCGAGGAAUCCAAACCAUCUUGGAAAAUGUGUACCAUCAACACAACAGUCAACAUUAAAACUUAUUAAAUUCUACACAAAAAAGUCCUCGAUAUCUUUGCAGAACAAUACAUCUUGUUAUAGAGAAUACUUGCUGAAUCUAAGUUUAACGCUUAUACACUUCCAGGGGACAUUCUCUUAAAAGGAAACUCGGAGGAAUAUGAAUUCUAUUUUUAACUAUACAUUUGUACGUGGUCUACCCCAAUAUUAACAUUUUACUCUACUGUGACUAAACCAGAAAGAAGGGUGGUAAGGGUUAUGAUGAUUCAGUACACCCAGUAGCUAGGUAUUAGGAUACUGGACGGAUUUUUUUAAAUGACGUAUCGUUAGAUUCCUCUUGCCAUUCACAACCUACUUUUACUUGUUCUAUUAAAGAAAAAUCAAUACAGCCGCCUUGAGAGGACUCCGAAUAUUAAAUCAUAUUUUUUCUUCUAGCGCCUAAACUAUUGAGCGGAGUACAGUAAAACAGACAUCAGUAGAUCCACAGUAUACAAGUGCUAUGCAAUACAAAGUUACUAAAAUUAACGGAAGAAAAAGGUUUAGGGCUAAAUAAUACGUCAUUUAAAAAAUCCGUCCAGUAUCCUAAGCUACAGGGUGUCCUGAAUCCUCAGUACUUAUACCCAUAACCCUACUUUCUGGUUAAGUUGCAGUCAAGUAAAAUAUUGAUAUUGGGGUAGAUUAUGUACAAAUGUAUAGUUAAAAGUGGAAUUUUUAUUCUUCCAAGUUUCCUAUUAAGAGAAUAUCCCAUGAAAGGGUAUAAGGGCUAAAUCUGGGUUUAGCAAGUAUUUUUUAAAGCAAGAUCAUUUUUUUUCGCAAAGAUGUCUAAAACUAUUUUAUGUAGAAUUUUAUAAGCUUGAAUGUUGCCUUACACGAUUAUUGAAUAAAGAACGUAGAUUUAGAGUAAAACGCGAAUUUCUCCUGGAUGGUCCACAUUUUCCAAGAUGGCUGCGGUUCCUCGAGGUCCCCAAAUGUCAAAUGGUGUGGGCAUGAAAAAGGGGCCUUUAAGGGGCGUAUAUACAUACCAAAUUUCAUGACUGUUCAGACAUUUCGAGUUUGGUCCUAAUCCGACUGUGCUAAUGCCACUAUGUACGUAAACUGUAACUGUACUGCGGACUCAACCUUCACGUUAUAAUUUUUUAAGUAUUAACGUUGACAUAGUAACGAAAAUAAUAAACACGUCAAUUGAAGUAAACAAUAUUAUUAUAUGCAAGAAAAUUUUGCAAAAUAGGUACAUUAAUGAUUAAUAUGUAAAACACCAUUAAUUAUUGAAUUAUAAUUAUGAUUUUGUGUUAAAAAAUAUGAGACCAAUUAUACAGCCCGAUUACACGGGCUACAUAUUAAAAAUGAUUAUCAUGGAAACAGUAAAUAUACACAGAUGUCGAACUACCAGCAAAGUUUUUGAAGAGGUGUAGUUUUUAUAUUUCCUGGUACCAAACUGAUACAGGAAAUUGGAACAUCAAUAAAUAAUCUACACCGAAGACAAUGAAAUAUAGUCACAUAAUACUUUAAUGUUUUAUUUUAUUAAAAAAAUCGGUAAAAAAAUGUGUUUACUGAAAAAGAAAAA
Cydia pomonella (codling moth) is the source of this 3704-nucleotide long non-coding RNA. RefSeq lists it as uncharacterized. NCBI's taxonomy places the organism in Eukaryota, Metazoa, Arthropoda, Insecta, Lepidoptera, Tortricidae. The record is from RefSeq and is a predicted model, not a curated record. The transcript is spliced from 2 exons.